Molecule: long non-coding RNA, 686 nt
Organism: Megalops cyprinoides (Indo-Pacific tarpon)
Lineage: Eukaryota; Metazoa; Chordata; Actinopteri; Elopiformes; Megalopidae
Exons: 3
Source: RefSeq, a predicted model, not a curated record
AGAGAGACUGCAGGACCAUCACAAUCAGGAGCUCAGUCAGCUGCACAGCAGGAUCCAGCAGCUGGAAGAGCGUCUGGACUGCGUCACCAGGGAGAAGAUGCAGUACGAGAGAGAGUUUAAGAAGGUGCAGUGCAGUUACAGGCAGUUUGUGGACCUGACUGACUCCUCCCUCCACUCGGACUACCUGCUGCGCCUGCGUGGUCUGGGUAAGGAGCCUGGUUUCACUGAGACUGAGGUGCAGACUUAUGACAUCAUCACUGUGUGACCUUCUUCUGCCUGGUCUAACUCUCACUGCCCUCUGAACUCAGAGACGCCCCCCCCAUCCAGGGUGGUCUGACACUCACUGAAAAUGUUUUGGAACAGCAGACUACUCUCCUUGUUUAUUCAUACCCCUGGGAAAUUUGAACAAAAACAUAAUACAGCAUGUCUUAUUGUCCUGUUUCUAGAGUUAUCUAAAAAGAGCAGCAUUAUGUUUUCCAAAGGAUUACGUCCAAAGAUUAUUACAAAAUUACCCUUACCCCUCAGUACCUACAAACAAAAUUCUGCAAAAAUAAACUGCAUCAACAUUAUGUUGUCUAGAACUUCUCAGAAAUUUCCAAAAACAUGUCUUAACAUUGGGCGUAAAAUGAGGCUCCACACAGAAACAGUACAUUAGUAGCAUGAGAGAGUGAGGCUACGGUGUGUGG